CCAUAGUGCUUGUCACUGUACGAACAAAAACUAAAUGACGGUUCCUUCCCCAAAGAACCGACAGUCUAAUAUGAGAGAACAGGUGGAUACAGCAAACACCCUCUGCUCCUGACAAGAUUAUCGUGAUCAAUGUGAUAAACAGUGGUCUCAGCACACCAGCUGCUUACCCAUUCCUGAGUUCUUUGUAGGCAUCACAGAGGAGGGUUAAGAGUGGAUUUAAAAGAGGACAACGUGGUGAUGCAACGAGAUGAGGAGUGAGUGUGCUCCCACAGAUGCAAUGCUAUGCUUCCUGCUGUGCUAUUUGAAGAUGAACUUUGCACAGGAGAGUUCAACUCUGCAAUCAAUCUUUUUCAAGCCAUUUUGUGCGGGGUAAUGGACCAAAACCUGCACUGACCUACACCUUGUGAGGCUCAAGUGAACUUACUGAGGCUGUGUGAGCAAAGAAGGGUGUGCUCAGAACUCAGACUUGGACCCACUCACUUGGUGGCACCAUGCAAUGAAGUGCUACAAGCCAGGCUCCCUUGCACUCAGCUAAACUCUCUGAGGCUCGUUUAUACUGACUCGACUGAUGUGUAAGGGAGAUGGAAGAAGGGCUGAGAAAGUCCUCCCAGUGUGUUGGAAGUAAUGAACUCACUGCUGAACUGGCAGUCCUAUUCUAUUCAGAUUCUUACAGGGAGCCCAUCACUGCGAUUUCUGAACAGGUCACAGAUGAGACUGUCUGCUUUCAUAAUUAUGAAUUGCAGUGUGCCUGAGCGGUGCCAAGCAACUGUACUUCUUUUCAGCCUUCCAUGGAAGUGAAGGGCACUCAAGUCACAGGAUUGCCCCUCUCCCCACCCCUCUGUGUUAGUGUAUGGGGAGGAGGUCUGCCUUAAAAUCCUGCCUUACUCAAAAGUUCAGCAUGUUUGCUGAGAGAUCCCUGAGUGUCAGCUCCAGGGCAGCCGUGGUGUGUUGCUUUUGGACUAGCUUGUAACUGCACUGAGGCUCCCCUCUCCUCUCCCCUCUCUCCCCCCUACCCAAAUCCUUAAUUUGCAGCUUACGCAAAUAAUGUAUCUUGUGUCUUGACUGACACCAGAGAGAACACAUGGAAAAAAGAAGGGUGGAUAAAAUUCUGUAUAGUAUAGGAAAACGCCUUGGAGGCAAUGCAGUCACAUUGCAUGACUUGUCUAAAAGGUACAACGUGAAUUUUAUAGCAAAGCCAUCAGCCAGUUCCCAUUACUUUCAGUUAAUAAUUAUUUCCAGAAGAUUAAGAACAGUGAAAGAGAUUGGAUGGAUAUUUAUGUUUAACCAAGUGACCUUGUAAAGUUUAUGUAAGUCAUAUCACAAUAGGGAUUAUAGAUAAGUUCACAUCCCACCUGACAAAAAUGGCCCUGGAAUCAUUGUAAAAUAUCAACCUUUAGAACAAGGUAAAACAAAAACCCCAUUAACUAAGUCAUCUGUAGGGCUGCACUCCUUUUAGUAACUACUGUUCAUACAUAUGUCAAGAGUCAGAUUUCAGUGCAUUGAACAAAAAUACAAGAGGUGUGGAGAGAUUGGUUUGGAGAACUGUUAACUUCUCCAGGAGCUAUGGAAAAGGAAAAAUAAUGUACCUUAAGGCUCCAGACAGAUAUGGAUUGUUCCCAGGUUUAUCUGUUACAUCAAGGUUGCUAGAAACACGCAGAAUGAAUUAACAAGGCAAGCUAUAAUUCUCAGUACAGGUUUGUUGACGGUACACUGUUGCUAGAAGCCUGCAGCAAUACAAACACAAAGAUUUCUGCUUAAAAGAGAAUGUGUUGGGACAGUGUCUGAGGAGAUUAUAGAAUUCUAGAGCCUGUACAUAUGUUAAUUUACCUCUGGCUGAUCAUAUUCAGCAAUAAGAAUAACGAAGCUGCAAUUGCAAAGGUGUUUUUUGUUAAUACAGUGUAUUAGCAAGAUACAUGGUUUUUCUUCAGUCUGAUACAGAAUACUGUGUUGUCAGAUGCAGCAAGGCUCAGCCUUGGCACGAGCCUUUCACUAUUAACAAUAAAACAGAAAAGGAUAAUCUGUGCAUAAUACUGAGAGGAAGUAGUAUGGUCCAAUGGACAGAGCACAGCACAGGACAGGGCAUUAGGAGACCUGGGUUCACUUCCUGACUGUUAUUUGCUAUUACUCACUGGGCAAGUAAGUUAAUCUCUUUGUACCUUGGUUUUCAGCCUUAAGGGUCUGAAACUUGCUCCCCCUUGACAUCCAACUCUGCCCAGUUUUAAGUAUGUUUGUUUUCUUCUAAUAUCUUCUACCCCAAGUUUAAAACUUUUCCUUAUGCAUUGUGAGAUUCCCUUUAUGAGUAUGGUUAUCAUAAUACUGCAUUUAUCCUUUUCUAACGUGCUUUUUAAGAAUUGCAAUGCAGUUACGCCAAGCGUAUUGGCAGGAGGGCAUUUGAUAACAUUUGUUAAUUAUUGAUUUAUAUUUUGAACGAUGUUUUGAGACCCUCGUCAAGGUCAGAGAUUUGAUGAGGCAUAGUCUUUAAGAAUGUUUAUCCCAUUUCUUGAUCUGUAAUAGUAAUCUUAAAUUAUUUCCUUUUUUGAUUCAUCGAGGGAAAGAUGAGUUUAUAUGUAAAUUUAUACAUCAUCAAGAUUUUAAAAAAGUGGAUUUUAAAUAUGCUUAAUUUCUCUUAAGCAUGUGCUUAAAUGCAUUGUUGAAUCAGGGCCUUCUCCCGGUAGAAAUCAGCUCAGCUCAGAUAGUGCUGUGAUGGGCAGCAGCAUUGAACCCUCCUAAGAUGGGUAAGAUAGGAGUAGCAGCAGGAAAUUCAAGUUAGCUACACCCAUGUUUGGAGCCAGUGUGAGAUCAGAAUCCAACCCCAUGAUUAUAAUAUAAUACUUUUCAGCUGCAUUACUAGUACCACCUUUGAUUAUUACAACAGAAAUAAUUUCAAAGGUGACAUUUGCAUUUCCGCCCUCAAGAGGCCCAUUCCCACAAUGUGCUGAACACCCUCACCUCCUGUUACAACAGCUCAUCAGCAUGCUUGACACCUUGUAGGACUUGGCUCUUAUGGUGCAUGUGCUUUGCGUUUUGCAUUCUCUCAGUUUGCACAAUACGAUUUGAGUGAGUUUGUUUAUUUAUGGGCUUGCUCCUGCAAACACGGACAUUCUGAGUUUGUGGGAUCAGCCCCUGUAUCUAAUUUUGGUUGCUUUGAUUUCAGAAUAUAAAUUAUGGAAGGAUACAGGUCCUAGGCAUUCAUGACAGAUAUCAAACAUGCAAUCCAACUAAGACAGACGACAAGCAAACCAACCACUUUCCUCUACACACAAGAAGCAGUCCAUAGAACUAUCUGAACUCUCUUAAAAUCCUAAUCCUCUCUGAUCACAAAUAAAAUCCUCACCCAAACCUUCCUUAAAUCUGAGUUCUAACCAAACAAAUGGGCUUUGCAGCAUGCUUUAGAAGUCAGCGCACUUGAGCUACUCCAGACCAGGAGAUGAAAUCCAAAGUGUCACAGAGAAUGCCCUGAAUUCAGGAUGCCCAACUUGGGCCUGAUUUAGAGAGGUGCUGAGCACCCACAACUGCAUAUGGCAUUUAGAUCACAGGUACAGCAAGAGGUGCCAGUUAGCAUCAGGACUCCAUUGUGCUAGGCACUGCACAAACACAUAGGGAAAUACACAUAGCUGGGGGUGUUCUUCCCAGCUCAAGGAGCCAUACCGCUGACAGUUCUGAUUGAGCUAGAGCAAUGGCACUCAAACUUUUGUACUGGUGACCCCUUUCACGUAGCAAGCCUCUGAAUGCGACCCGCCCUUAUAAAUU
Molecule: long non-coding RNA, 3750 nt
Organism: Gopherus evgoodei (Goodes thornscrub tortoise)
Lineage: Eukaryota; Metazoa; Chordata; Testudines; Testudinidae
Exons: 5
Source: RefSeq, a predicted model, not a curated record